CCACCCUUAGCUCAACGGUAGAGCAGUCGCCUUAUACGCGAUUGGUUCGGGGUUCGAAUCCCUGAGGGUGGA
RNAcentral lists this transfer RNA (72 nucleotides) under Candidatus Zambryskiibacteriota bacterium. RNAcentral describes it as "Candidatus Zambryskibacteria bacterium tRNA-Ile". It matches the Rfam family "tRNA". From Rfam's summary of the family: Transfer RNA (tRNA) molecules are approximately 80 nucleotides in length. Their secondary structure includes four short double-helical elements and three loops (D, anti-codon, and T loops). Lineage: Bacteria; Candidatus Zambryskiibacteriota. RNAcentral also lists the same sequence under 1 other name. The record is from RNAcentral.